Molecule: ribosomal RNA, 499 nt
Filed under: uncultured bacterium
Lineage: Bacteria
Description: partial 16S ribosomal RNA
Rfam family: Bacterial small subunit ribosomal RNA
Source: RNAcentral
ACUCAAAGGAAUUGACGGGGACCCGCACAAGCAGUGGAGUAUGUGGUUUAAUUCGAAGCAACGCGAAGAACCUUACCAAGUCUUGACAUCCCUCUGAAUCCUCUAGAGAUAGAGGCGACCCUUCGGGGACAGAGGUGACAGGUGGUGCAUGGUUGUCGUCAGCUCGUGUCGUGAGAUGUUGGGUUAAGUCCCGCAACGAGCGCAACCCUUGAUCUUAGUUGCCAGCAUUCAGUUGGGCACUCUAGGAUGACUGCCGGUGACAAACCGGAGGAAGGCGGGGAUGACGUCAAAUCAUCAUGCCCCUUAUGACUUGGGCUACACACGUACUACAAUGGUUGGUACAGAGGGCAGCAAUACCGCGAGGUGGAGCGAAUCUCACAAAACCAAUCUCAGUUCGGAUUGCAGGCUGCAACUCGCCUGCAUGAAGUCGGAAUUGCUAGUAAUCGCGGAUCAGCAUGCCGCGGUGAAUACGUUCCCGGGUCUUGUACACACCGCCCGU